UACGUAGGGGGCGAGCGUUAUCCGGAUUCACUGGGUGUAAAGGGAGCGUAGACGGCCAUGCAAGCCAGGGGUGAAAGCCCGGGGCCCAACCCCGGGACUGCCCUUGGAACUGCAUGGCUGGAGUGCGGGAGGGGCAGGCGGAAUUCCUGGUGUAGCGGUGAAAUGCGUAGAUAUCAGGAGGAACACCGGCGGCGAAGGCGGCCUGCUGGACCGCGACUGACGUUGAGGCUCGGAAGCGUGGGGAGCGAACAGG
This 253-nucleotide ribosomal RNA is filed under the name uncultured bacterium. RNAcentral's name for it is "partial 16S ribosomal RNA". It matches the Rfam family "Bacterial small subunit ribosomal RNA", at positions 524 to 776 of the family's 1533-position model. The record is from RNAcentral.